This 496-nucleotide ribosomal RNA is filed under the name Kocuria sp. UMB 15. RNAcentral describes it as "bacterial SSU rRNA". It matches the Rfam family "Bacterial small subunit ribosomal RNA", at positions 77 to 586 of the family's 1533-position model. Lineage: Bacteria; Bacillati; Actinomycetota; Actinomycetes; Micrococcales; Micrococcaceae. The record is from RNAcentral.
CUUGCUGGUGUGGAUGAGUGGCGAACGGGUUGAGUAUACGUGAGUAACCUGCCCUUGACUCUGGGAUAAGCCCGGGAAAACUGGGUCUAAUACUGGAUGCUACAUGUCACCGCAUGGUGGUGUGUGGAAAGGGUUUACUGGUCUUGGAUGGGCUCACGGCCUAUCAGCUUGUUGGUGAGGUAAUGGCUCACCAAGGCGACGACGGAUAGCCGGCCUGAGAGGGUGACCGGCCACACUGGGACUGAGACACGGCCCAGACUCCUACGGGAGGCAGCAGUGGGGAAUAUUGCACAAUGGGCGAAAGCCUGAUGCAGCGACGCCGCGUGAGGGAUGACGGCCUUCGGGUUGUAAACCUCUUUCAGCAGGGAAGAAGCCACAAGUGACGGUACCUGCAGAAGAAGCGCCGGCUAACUACGUGCCAGCAGCCGCGGUAAUACGUAAGGCGCAAGCGUUGUCCGGAAUUAUUGGGCGUAAAGAGCUCGUAGCGGUUUGUCGC